CGUCAGCGCUUUCCUCUUGCAUUGUCUAUUUCUUCCGUAAAUGAUUAAACGUCGUGGGCUUGAAAAUGUUUUGGGCUUAUUGAAUUUAAAAUCAACAUUUGUUUUUUUGUUGGGUUUCUUCGUUGUCGUAGCAAGCGGUAACUCCCGUCGUAUUGUCUUCCAUCAGUUCCUUCCACAGAGUGAAUCAGUGUUGAUGGCAUUCAAUUAAUUCACCCACUUUCUCCUCAUCAAUACAGGUUUUCUCCUCCCAUCAAUCGAAUUGGAUACAUAUAUAUAUAUAGUCUCUAGGGUCUCAGGAGGAAUCUCAAACGUCUUACGAAUUAUAUUCUUGCGACAACCCUACAAGUUGAAGUUCUUAGAAUGGUGAUUACUCAGCUCCACUUGAUUUGAAGGCUGGUCAUCUCGAGGACAGAGUUGUCACAAGUCUCUUUCGUUUUUGGGAGGCUAGGACGUUAAGAAAUCUGGGGAGCUUAUGAGUGUGGAUUUCAUGUUCCUCAAUGAGAAGUGCCGUCGACCUUCCAAGAUUACGGGGAAGAAAGUCACAAUUGGUCUUAUCUUUGCAACCCCUCUGAACGAGCACUACUCUUUCCGGUGACGGCGUUAAAACCUAGGUUAGAUCUUGAGCUUGACGAGAUUCAUUUCUUGGACGCAAUUCCUAUAAUUUUGAGUUUGGUGAUUGUAAUUAUAAACAACUCCAGUUAUGGGAAAAAUUGUGAAAGUGCAUUGAUUUAGUAAUGUUUUGUGCUGUUUAUAUGCCUCGCCUACACGGACAGUAAAGCACGUGAUUAAUACACACCUUCUGGUGGCAAUCUCCAUCUUUUAGAUUUCUCUUUUGUAGGCUGCAUUAACUCUGCAAACUCAUACUUGGUGUGAGGCGGGAAGCUCGCAAGGUGUGAAGCGUGAAAGUGAAACUCAAACUGAUGCCUGACUCAGAGAACCGGCUUAACAAUCUUAUGCUUUUCGAAAAGGUUUGGAGGAAAAUCCAUGGUUACAGGAGAAAUAUACCACUGCGACGACAUUUAAAACAAUUGGAGAGAAGAUUACUGGUUAGUAGUUCUGGUCACUGGUGAGGUAACAAUGGUGUAGAAACUCUCGAGAGUUCUUUUGUGGGUUCAAAAAGAAAACAUGGCAAUGGUGGUGAAACACAUCUCGAUGAGCUUAGCAAUGGAGACACGGGAAAACAGCUAUGGUUUCAAGAGGAGAGUUGACGUUUCAAGAUAUUUACGGUGCAGAGGCAUUGCUGAAUGAAGAAGAUGAGGGCAGCUAUAGUUCUGAUUGGGAACCUGUGCAGCAGAAGAUGCCAUUUGAGUUUGUGAAAUGGUGUUGCUUCAGUUGCACUAUGGAAAAUCCUGGUGAUAUGGUUCAUUGUUAUGUAUAUUUUGCUUACUUUUUCAUGUUUGAAUACUUUUGUUUCUGAUCUUAUACCAGUGUCUGCAAUUAUUUGUCUGAGGCAUGGAUAUAUUGCAUCUCUGUUAUUUAAAAGACACUGGUCUCUCACCGAAGUUGAAGAGAAAUGCGGAGGAAAUUCAUCUGCAACUAGCUCGACAGCUGUUGGUUUCGAGGAGAUAAUGUUGUUGCAUUCAAAAGUAUGAUUUUGUUACUGUUAUAGUUUCGUGAGAUAUCUGUUGAUGUCAAUACAAUUUAUUUAUCUCCAAUGCUUUUUUCGUGCAAUUAUUUCGCAAGAGCUCCAGAUGGUGAGCUGCUACUUAAUUGUCUUAGAGACAUAUCUAACUGCGAAUAGUUUGUUUAUUUCCUUACUUUUACAAACAAGUCAUUAACUUUUUU
Molecule: long non-coding RNA, 1785 nt
Organism: Brassica napus (rape)
Lineage: Eukaryota; Viridiplantae; Streptophyta; Magnoliopsida; Brassicales; Brassicaceae
Exons: 5
Source: RefSeq, a predicted model, not a curated record